AACGCGAAGAACCUUACCAGCGUUUGACCAUGUCCGGACGAUUUCCAGAGAUGGAUACUACUUCCCUUCGGGGACUGGAACACAGGUGCUGCAUGGCUGUCGUCAGCUCGUGUCGUGAGAUGUUGGGUUAAGUCCCGCAACGAGCGCAACCCUCGCCUUUAGUUACCAUCAUUUAGUUGGGUACUCUAAAGGAACCGCCGGUGAUAAGCCGGAGGAAGGUGGGGAUGACGUCAAGUCCUCAUGGCCCUUACGCGCUGGGCUACACACGUGCUACAAUGGCGACUACAGUGGGCAGCAAUCUCGCGAGGGUGAGCUAAUCUCCAAAAGUCGUCUCAGUUCGGAUUGCACUCUGCAACUCGAGUGCAUGAAGGCAGAAUCGCUAGUAAUCGCAGAUCAUCAUGCCG
This 404-nucleotide ribosomal RNA is filed under the name uncultured bacterium. RNAcentral describes it as "bacterial SSU rRNA". It matches the Rfam family "Bacterial small subunit ribosomal RNA", at positions 958 to 1359 of the family's 1533-position model. The record is from RNAcentral.